UCCUGGCUCAGAAUGAACGUUGGCGGCGUGGAUUAGGCAUGCAAGUCGUGCGGAAAGGCUCCUUCGGGAGUACUCGAGCGGCGAAAGGGAGAGUAACGCGUGGAUAUCUACCCUCGGAUCUGGGAUAGCGGUGGGAAACCGCCGGUAAUACCAGAUGACGUCUCCGGACCAAAGGUGUGAUUCCGUCCGAGGAUGAGUCCGCGUCCUAUUAGCUUGUUGGUGGGGUAAUGGCCUACCAAGGCUGUGAUGGGUACCGGGUGUGAGAGCAUGGCCCGGCUCACUGGGACUGAGACACUGCCCAGACACCUACGGGUGGCUGCAGUCGAGAAUCUUCGGCAAUGGGCGCAAGCCUGACCGAGCGACGCCGCGUGCGGGAUGAAGGCCUUCGGGUUGUAAACCGCUGUCAGUGGGGAGGAAAUGCAUGAGGGUUCUCUCUCAUGUUUGACCUAUCCGCAGAGGAAGUACGGGCUAAGUUCGUGCCAGCAGCCGCGGUAAUACGAACCGUACGAACGUUAUUCGGAAUCACUGGGCUUAAAGAGUGCGUAGGCGGCCUGGCAAGUUGGGUGUGAAAGCCCUCGGCUCAACCGAGGAAUUGCGCCCAAAACUGCCAGACUUGAGGGAGGCAGAGGUAAGCGGAACUAAUGGUGGAGCGGUGAAAUGCGUUGAUAUCAUUAGGAACACCUGAGGCGAAAGCAGCUUACUGGGCCUCUUCUGACGCUGAGGCACGAAAGCUAGGGGAGCGAACGGGAUUAGAUACCCCGGUAGUCCUAGCUGUAAACGAUGAGCACUGGAUUGAGGGGACUUCCACAUCCUCUCGGUCGUAGCGAAAGUGUUAAGUGCUCCGCCU
This 847-nucleotide ribosomal RNA is filed under the name uncultured organism. RNAcentral's name for it is "bacterial SSU rRNA". It matches the Rfam family "Bacterial small subunit ribosomal RNA", at positions 17 to 874 of the family's 1533-position model. The record is from RNAcentral.